UGCUACGAAGGAGGCCCUCGAGUGGUUAGACGACAACCAAAAUGCCGAGAAAGAGGACUACGAAGAGAAGCUUAAGGAGGUGGAAGCUGUAUGUAACCCAAUCAUCACAGCCGUCUAUCAAAAAUCUGGAGGAGCACCUGGUGGAUCCUCGUCGGAAGAUGACGAUUCCCAUGAUGAACUGUAGGUAACUUUUUAGAGUCCAUUAACUACUGAUGACUAGUGAAGCGAGAAAAACGAAAUGGAGUUUAGAAGAGACGAGUGAUGUAAAUUUUGUCAUUUGGGGGCUGAGUCCCUUGCCUGCCUUCUUUUUCUUAAGAAGGAUUAUUUCUUUUCAAAUUACUUGUAGUUUUUGUUUUACAAGAUUCUCGAUGAUAAUUGACGCUUUGCGUAUGUAAUAUACAUUUUUCUGCCUUGACAAUAUGUUUCCUGCAGUAAAUGAGUUCGUAAAUUACGUUCAACAAACAAUAAUUAGUAAAAAUCUCAUAUAUUGAAUUAAUUGCCUCAAAAUUUUUGUUUGUAAAGCAAUAAUGGAGGCUUUGGGGAGCCAUUUAACUAAUAAAUAUUCUGAAGGGACGCUCAGGUCUCGAUACUCCCUGUAUAGAUGCGAUUGAGAUACUCUAUUGCAAGCAUGCAUUGGCUACUUUUGGGCUUGAUGCCUUGAUCCUGAGAGUUGUAGUGCAAACGUGAGCCAACCAUCAUUUGUUGGAAUCUUGUCGAAAAUUGUGGGUGGAUGAAUUAAAAGAGAGGAAGAUAAUGCUAUAUGUGUGGCUUAUGUGACCGCAUAAGCCUUCAAUGUUCGUGGUUGCAUAUGGUUUUUCAGUGGCCAAAGUGGCGACCGAAGCUAUAAUCAUGAGAUCGCAACGCAUGGUUAUAAAAAAAUGGCUGUUGGCUGGAAAUCUUUUUGAAUUUUUGGUGGUUUUCUUGGUGAAUCCAUGCAAAAAUGUGUUGGUAUUCGUCUCUAAACACAAGAAAAAUAUUCUAUUAUUCAUCCAAAUCUUUGAAGAGAUUAUCACAUAUUCAAAACCAUUUUUCACUUGUUCAUUUGAAGAUCACUUUUACUUUUGGUGAUCUUCUUUAAGGCUUGAUCAAUUCUACGAACUAUUUGCCAUUUAAUUCUUAAGAGCAUUGUGAGAGAAGACAAAUAUCGUUUAAGGACAAUGGUAUAAUCUUCGUGUUCAAGUCUUCUUCAAUAUAUACUUAUCUUCUUCUUUAUUUUUUUGUUCUCCAUUGCUAUAUUUUUAUAGCAUUCUUAAACGGCAUUUGUCAUUUUACUGCAAUGGAAACGGAAUCUAGACUUGCCACAAUCAAGAAGAUGAAUCAAGAUUUAGUGAGUUUGGAUAGAUUUGAUAGAUUCAACUUCAUAAGAUGGCAGAACAAACUCAAAAUUUUUUCUAACGGCAUUAAAAAUCUUCUACAUGCUUGAUAUAAAAUUGGAAUCAAUUCUCGAUGCAACGGACAAAAAUAUUGAUGAAGUUCGUGCCUAAAGAAAGAAAAGGGAAGAGGACGAACUAAUAUGUUGCCAUCACAUCCUAAAUGCUCUAUCGCAUCGAUUAUAUGAUCACUACAUCAACACGACUUCAGCAAAAGAGAUUUGGUAUGCACUUGAAAGCAAAUAUAAAGCCGAGGAGGAAAGUACCAAGAAUUUUUAUUUUCUAAAUAUUUUGAUUUCAAGUUUCUAGAUAAAAUUCAUUUGUUAUCUCGAGUGCAUGAGUUGCAAAUUAUUGUCGACAAAUUGCAAGCGGUGAAAAUUGAACUUUCGGUAAACCUUUCAAGUGGGUGCAAUCAUUGCUAAACUUUCGAGAUCUUGAAAAGGAGGAAGAAGAUUCUUCACAAUUCCAAAGAUUUUUCUUUUGAAGAUAUUUAAAAGUAUCUUCGCAUAGAGAAAGAGUCAAAGGGAAGAGAUAAGACUCAAAGUUCUUAUAAUGGCUCUUCGAAAGCUAAUGCCCUGGACAAUAUGGACAAUUCCAACAAAUAUAAAAAGAAAAGGAAACCUCUUGGUUCAAAAAAGAAUUGAGGGAAGUUCAAAAACAAAUCGAAGGGACCUUGCUAUGUUUAUUGAAAAUCGGGAUACUAUGCAAGAGAUUGUAGGCAUAAGCAAUAACCAAAUAAAGAAGGGCAAGUAAAUUCCAUAGAUGAGAUUAUUACUAUGAUGAGCCAAAUCAAUGUAAUCCAAAGCAAAGUUCCGAACUGAUAGUAUGACAUAUGUGCUAUCGUCCAUGUUUGUUAUAAUAAGUCUAUUUUCAAAACUUAUCAUUGCAUUGAAGAUGGUUAAUAGAUCCAAAUGAAAAAUGAAGGAAGAUCAAAAGUGAUUGGCAAAGGUAAUACGGAAAUCAUUUCCAUUUCGGGAAAGAAGAUCACUUUGACAAAUGUUCUUCAUGUACCAGAAAUGAUUAGAAACCCAGAAGUGGAGUUCUAUUGGAAAAACCAGGAAUUAUAAUUAUUUUUGAAUUUGAAAAACUUGUACUUACCCAUAAUGGACAUUUUGUUUGAAAUGACUAUUCCACUGAAAGAAUGGUCAAACUUUGUACUUUUGAGGAUAACUCUAAUAAAAAUAAAUUAUUUGCCUAUGUUACCGAUUCAUUUAAUUUAUGACAUGGUAGAUUUAGCAUAUAUAGGAGUUAGCACUACGAAAAGAAUGAUUAAAUGCAGAAUGAUACAAUGUGAAAUUGAUAACUUGGAAAAAUGUGAAAUAUGUAUUAAAUUGAAGACGAUUAAAAAGCCAUUUUAUAGUGUAUUAAGAUCAACAAACUUACUUUUACUUGUUCAUUCCGACAUAUGUGAAUUGAAUGUCAUGCCAACAAGAAGUGGUAAUAGAUAUUUCAUUACUUUCAUAAAUGAUGCUCUAGGUAUACUUAUGUAUAUUUGUUAAAGCAUAAAGAUGAAGUCUUUAUUGCCUCUAAAACAUAUAAAAUUGAAGUUGAAAAUCAAUUAAGAAGGAAAUUAAAAACUCUAAGAAGUGAUAUAGGUGAAGAAUAUUUUUCUAAUGAAUUCAAUAAGUUUUGUGAAUAAAAUGAAAUAAUACAUCAAUGUUCUGUAUCACGAACACCGAAAUAAAAUGGUUUAGCAGAAAGAAAGAAUAGGACAUGCUUAGAGAUGAUAAAUGCCAUGUUAAUAAAUUUUGAAUUACCAUUCAUAAAUGGAAGAAGCCUUACUUAGUGCUUGUCAUAUGGUAAAUAGGAUUCCUAUGAAAAAGAAUAAGAUUUCCCCACAUGAAAUAUGGAAAGAUAGGAAGCCAAAUAUUAAUUAUUUGAAGGUAUGUGGGUGUCUUGCUUAUUAUAAAAAGAGGAAUCCUAAGAGAACUAAAUUAGGUCCUAGAGGUAUUAAAUGUGCAUUUGUAGGAUAAGUUCUAAAUAGCAAGGCCUAUAGGUUAUUAAACCUUGAGCUAGCUGUCAUAAUAGAAUCAAGUGAUGUGAAAUUUUUCGAGAAUGUAUUAGUGACAAGAAAAUCUCAUAAUAAUGAAGACCUUCUGAAUUCUAGAGAACCACAAGCAGAGACAUUUAUAAGAGAUGUUGAAAGUGAAUCUCGAAAUAGUAAUAGAACUAGAAAAGAAAAAAGUCUAGGCUCAAAUGAAAUAGAUUCCCAACUUAUUUCUUUCCAUUUAGUAGCGGGAGAUAGUAAGGACGUUGUAAGAACAACUCCUUUUGUUCUUCAAGUGGAGAGUGAUCCUUAAACAUAUAAGGAAACAAUGUCUUCUAGAGAUUGUAUAUUCUGGAAAGAGGCGAUAAAUAAUGAAAUGGAUUCUAUUAUUUCAAAUAAUACUUGGGAAAUAGUUGAUCUACAGAAGGGUUUUAAAGCCAUUGGUUGCAAAUAUGUGUUUAGAAAGAAAUACAAUUUCGAUGAAAUACUUAAUACCUACAAAGCUAGAUUAGUAGUUAAAAGGUAUCGUCAAAAGGAAGGAAUAUAUUACUUUGACAUAUAUGCACCGUGGCUAGGAUAACCUCAAUAAGUAUAUUGUUUGCACUGACGUCAAUUUAUGAUUUACAUGUUCACCAAAUGGAUCUCAAGACGUCAUUCUUAAAUAGAGAUCUCGAAAAGGAGGUCUAUAUAAAACAAUCAAAAGCGUUUGUUGUACCGAAAAAUGAACAUAAAGUGCGCAAACUAAUGAAAAAGUGGCAUGUAAAAUUUGACUCUAAAAUAAUUUCGAAUGGUUUUAAUCACAAUUCAAUAGAUAAAUGUCUUUAUGCUAAAGUAAGUGACAGUAUAAUUACAUUAAUAUGUCUGUAUGUAGAUGAUAUAUGAAUCAUCAACUACAAUAUAGAUGGAAUUAAAGAAAUAAGAGGUUUCUGUCCUCUAUGUUCAAAAUGAAAGAUUUUGGACAAGUGAAUACUAUAUUUGGUAUCAAAGUUAAAAAUGAUAGUGGGGAUUUUACAUUGAGCCAAUUACAUUAUCUUGAAAAUGUGAUAAAUUCAAUCACUUGAACAUCAAAGAGGCUAAUACCCAUUUGGAUCUAAGUAUCAAGCUGAUAAAAAAUGAUGGAAGCCAAUAGUUCAAAUUGAAUACACAAGUUUUAUGUACGCGGCACCAUGGACAAGGUCGGAUUUUACAUUUGUUGUGAGUAAAGUAAGUAGGUUUAUUAGCAAUUUUCAAGUUUCUUACAUUAGAAUGCCAUAAGUAGGGUUCUUGGCUACUUAAAGAAAACCAAAAAACAUUGGACUAUAAUAUACACAGUUCCUUACUAUUUUGGAAGGAUAUAUUGAUGCUAGUUAGAUAUCGAGUACGGGAGAAACAAGUCCACUUCAGGUUGGAUAUUUACUUUUGGAGGUUGAGCAGUUUUUUGGAAGUCUAGGAAACAAACAUGCAUUACUCGUUCACCAAUGAAGUCAAAGUUUGUAAUGUUGGUUGAAACUGGAAAAGAAGUUGAGUGGCAUAAAGAUUUGUUGUAUGAAAUACCUUUAAAUAUAAAGGAUAUUUCUUCAACACCUAUCUUGUAUGAUAGUCAAGCUACUCUAGCUCGAGCCUAUAGUGAAGUAUAUAAUUGAAAGUCUAGACAUUUGAUAUGAGUCUAAUACAUAAGUAUAUAAGAAAAUUAAUCAAGCAUUAAAUAAUUUCUCUUGUACUUAUUAAGUCUAGUGAUAACUUAACUGAUUAGUUUACUAAACUUCCUACAAGAGAGUUAGUAAGAUCGACAUCAAAUAGGACAAGAUUGAAACUCCUGAAUUAAUUUCACUAAUAAUAGCAACCCUACCAAAGGUAUACUACAUAAGUAUAUUUAGGUUGAAAGGGUAAUAACAAGUUAUUCGAUAAGUGGAUAGAUUUCGACACUAUUAAACUAGUAAACCCUAUCCUUAAUAAAUAGUGUUGGUUGUUAUUCUUGGAGGGAUGAGUUAUAACAAAACUCUUAAUGAAGUUCAGUACGGGGUAUAAGUAUAUCUCUAAAAGUAACAAACAUACUGGAAGAACUUCACCUAUAUGAACUUCGAGGUGGUGCCGCCUCAUUAAAGAGUUAAAGUUUUUCUUGCUUUAAAAGUUUAAUGAAAAAUGAUAAGUGUAAGGCCAUAUUAGUACUAAACAAGUUAGAGGAACUUGUGAAAAUUUAAUACUUGUGUGUGUGUGUGAUUUCAUCGGUAUUGUAACAAGAAAUAAUUGGUUCAAAGCUUUUUAACUAUCCGGAAUUUCGAUAAUGCUUUAUGAAAAUUACAUAUAGUUAGACUCAAAUCGAAAGAUAUCUAAUGAAUGUAUUUCAAUGAUACUUUAGAUACCAUCUAAACUUGAUAUUUACCUAAUUCCUAUAAGUUUAAGAGCAUUUUAAUGUGUAUUUUGCUGUAUAUAUGUUGAUGAAAUUGAUGGGAAUGUGAUUGAAAAUAAGUAUGAAAAAUAUAUUAAAGUAAAGUAAAGUAAAGGGAAUCAAGUAGGUGCUUCCCAAGAGCUCUGUUAUCUUAGCUUAAUCAGCUUAAUGAAGUAUUCGAUAAUUCUAUGAUCAAAAUCCUCUCCUGCACAACAAAUGAACUUUCAGCAUCAUUAAACCCAACAAUAACUCACAAAAUUAUCGUUCUAAGCCUUCCUUUUUGAAGUGCAUAAUAAUAUAUGUUGGACAAUUUUUAAAGAUAAAAUCGAAACUUAAUAUGUUAUCAAUACAUAUUUCAGAUUGCCGAAUUGAUCAUACAUCAAAUUGAUUUCUCAGCUAUAUCAUAAAAGGACAAUGUGUUCAAGGGGUGAGUAUUUGAAUAUAUUACGUUUCGAACUUUUGACCUAUAACUGCAUGACACACUGCCACUUGCUACAGAAAUAUAUCAGUCAUUUUCGAAAUAUUGAUUUUCUAAUAAAUGCAAAGAUGGAUAUAUUAGCAAGAAAUAUCUGUACGUCCAAGAUGGGUGUUUCCAUUCGUGGAAAGAACCUCAAAGACACCAUUGUCAAUGGUCAAGAAUUUAUAUUUAUUCCUCAAUUUGGAAGCUGGUUCUUUAUCUUCAAUUGGAAAGUUUGUUCAUGCUAGUAUGCCCUGAAUUUGAUAAAAGUUACUACUUCCCAAGAUUUAAAAGAGAAAAUAUUGUGCUGGAAAGGCUCAACUAAAUGAUGCAAUUUUAGGCAGUGUUGUGCAACUUAUGAUGGAAACAUACUGCCCUUUUUAAUAAUUAACAGCUUCCGCUUUUAUAUGAGCCAGUUAACGUUGUUGCGACCUGUUUAUUAAAAAAUGUACACGUGUCUCACUUUCAUGGGAAAAAAACACAUUGGGGCACUGAAUAUAGGAUUUAUACGAAUACGUAUGGCCAUUUUCUAACCACUUGAGCUUUUAGAUGAAAUGGUUAACAAACCAAAAACAAACUUUAGAAGAUGGAAUUAACCAAGUGGUCUCACUGUCUAAAUGCCAACUGGAAAGAUUGAUAUGUAUGGUUGUCAACAAGUAAUUGUUAUGUUAUAACGCUACUGCUUCUCAAUACGUCCUUGGCUUAUGGUUUGAUUGCUUUGGCUUCGGUGUUUGAAUUGUUAUUAAUUCGCCAAAUGAUUUCAUGAGUACUAAAUUGACUAACCUUGUCUUGUCAAACAGGUUGUCUAUCAGCAAUUUCUAUUGCGAAGGAGGAGGCCACCAAAUUGGGAACAGUCAUUGGUAUAGACCUUGGUACUACCUAUUCCUAUGUUGGUGUUUACAAGAAUGGACAUGUAGAAAUCAUAGCUAAUGACCAAGGAAAUCGAAUUACCCCAUCAUGGGUUGCAUUCACUGACACUGAAAGAUUGAUCGGUGAGGCUGCAAAGAACCAGGCAGCUGUCAACCCUGAGAGGACUGUCUUUGAUGUUAAAAGACUCAUUGGAAGAAAGUAAUUCCUUUUUGCUCAAUUUAUAACAGUAUUUUCUUCUACAUUUUGAUGAAUAAAUACUGAUUAAAGUUUUGAAUUGUUUCUUGACAGGUUCGAGGAUAAGGAAGUUCAGAGGGAUAUGAAGCUUGUUCCUUACAAAAUAGUGAAUAAAGAUGGAAAGCCUUACAUCCAAGUCAAAAUUAGGGAUGGUGAGACCAAAGUCUUCAGCCCUGAGGAAAUCAGUGCCAUGAUUUUAGGCAAGAUGAAAGAAACAGCAGAAGCAUUCCUUGGGAAGACAAUUAAGGAUGCUGUGGUAACAGUUCCUGGUAAGCUGUCUUUAACUUGUCUUUUAUUGAAACAUUAACUGCAAUGACAUUUUGAGUAUUUGGUCAUACUGACCAUUUAUUUGUGGUUGACUGGCAGCAUAUUUCAAUGAUGCCCAGAGGCAAGCUACCAAGGACGCUGGUGUAAUUGCUGGCUUGAAUGUGGCAAGAAUUAUCAAUGAACCAACAGCAGCAGCAAUUGCCUAUGGUUUGGACAAGAAAGGUGGUGAGAAGAACAUCCUUGUCUUUGACCUUGGUGGUGGAACCUUUGAUGUCAGUAUCUUGACCAUUGACAAUGGUGUCUUUGAGGUGCUUGCCACUAAUGGAGAUACCCAUCUUGGAGGUACAGAUCUUUCUUUUUAUCAGCUCUGCUCCAAUAUAUAUAAUAAGUGCAUUUAUUUAGUAAAUCAAUGUUUGGAAACUGAUCUAUCCCACCUGGAAGCGGAAGUGAAUCAUGCAGUUAUAGUAAUGAAAAUUCAAAUAUUUAUACAGACAAUCCUUGAACACAGUUUGUCAAUGAUAUAGCUGAGAACAUCAACUGGAUUAUGAUCCAUUUAGCAAUCUGAAAUAUAUAUUGUUCAGAGACAUCUCAUGAUAAUAUGUUAAGUUUGAUAUCAACAUUUAAAAUUGUACAGUGUAAAUACUGGUUAUUCACUGGACGUGAUUAUUCUGCACUGCAAAGAGGAAAGGGUAGAAUGAUCAUUCUAUGAGUUCUUGUGUUGUACAAUAUAUGAAAGUUUCAUUUGGUGUGCAGGAGAGGAUUUUGAUCACAGAGUUAUGGAAUACUUCAUCAAGUUGAUUAAGAAAAAGCACGGAAAGGACAUCAGUAAAGAUAACAGAGCUCUUGGGAAGCUAAGGAGAGAAUGUGAACGUGCAAAGAGAGCCCUGAGCAGCCAGCACCAAGUCCGUGUUGAAAUUGAAUCACUUUUUGAUGGUAUAGAUUUCUCUGAACCAUUGACCCGUGCCAGAUUUGAGGAGUUGAACAACGACCUCUUCAGGAAGACCAUGGGACCUGUGAAGAAAGCCAUGGAAGAUGCUGGUAUGGAGAAAAACCAGAUUGACGAAAUUGUCCUUGUUGGUGGAAGCACCAGGAUUCCUAAAGUUCAGCAGCUUCUCAAGGAUUAUUUCGAUGGAAAGGAGCCCAACAAGGGUGUGAACCCAGACGAGGCAGUUGCUUACGGUGCUGCUAUCCAAGGAAGUAUUCUGAGUGGAGAGGGUGGUGAAGAAACCAAAGGUACUUAUUGCAUGUGUUGUUAUCUUGUGGACUGAUUCAAUGCUGCUUGUUUUCUUGCUAUUAAUCUUGAUUUAGUGAUGUUUUAGACAGCUUUGUCUGAAUUGAUCACCGAUGUGUGUGCAUUUGUGUGCAGACAUCCUUCUCUUGGACGUUGCACCACUCACCCUUGGUAUUGAAACUGUUGGUGGAGUUAUGACCAAGUUAAUUCCGAGGAAUACUGUUAUCCCAACCAAGAAGUCUCAAGUUUUCACAACUUACCAAGACCAGCAAACUACUGUCUCAAUCCAGGUAACGUGUUCCGAGCCAAAUUAAUUCUUACCCUGUUUGUACUGUUAGGUAAAUGGAUGAUUAUGUCCUCCCUAAAAUGGCAUGCUUGCGCUUUAGCUGAGUGUCCGACAAUUUGAUAACAGGUAUUCGAAGGAGAAAGGAGUCUUACGAAGGACUGCAGGCUGCUCGGAAAGUUUGAUCUGACCGGCAUUCCUCCAGCACCGAGGUUUGUUGCAUUCUUUGGAUAAAUAAUUUGUUAUGACCGAACUUGAUGUUAUAUUUUGUUAUCUGAAGGAUCCUGUGUUCUAUUUGAACAGGGGAACCCCUCAAAUUGAGGUUACAUUCGAAGUUGAUGCCAAUGGUAUCCUGAACGUCAAGGCAGAAGACAAGGGCAGUGGUAAAUCAGAAAAGAUCACCAUCACGAACGAGAAGGGUAGAUUGAGCCAAGAGGAGAUAGAUAGAAUGGUUCGUGAAGCAGAAGAGUUUGCCGAGGAAGACAAGAAGGUGAAGGAGAGAAUCGAUGCUCGUAACAGUCUCGAGACAUACAUAUACAACAUGAAGAACCAAAUCAACGACAAGGACAAGCUUGCCGACAAGCUCGAGUCUGAUGAGAAGGAGAAGAUCGAGACUGCUACGAAGGAGGCCCUCGAGUGGUUAGACGACAACCAAAAUGCCGAGAAAGAGGACUACGAAGAGAAGCUUAAGGAGGUGGAAGCUGUAUGUAACCCAAUCAUCACAGCUGUCUAUCAAAAAUCUGGAGGAGCACCUGGUGGAUCCUCGUCGGAAGAUGAUGAUUCCCAUGAUGAACUGUAGGUAAAUUUUUAGAGUCCAUUAACUACUGAUGACUAGUGAAGCGAGAAAAACGAAAUGGAGUUUAGAAGAGACGAGUGAUGUAAAUUUUGUCAUUUG
This 9962-nucleotide long non-coding RNA is filed under the name Olea europaea (common olive). RNAcentral describes it as "long non-coding RNA (OEUR_LNC005224)". Lineage: Eukaryota; Viridiplantae; Streptophyta; Magnoliopsida; Lamiales; Oleaceae. The record is from RNAcentral.